AACGAACGCUGGCGGCAUGCCUAACACAUGCAAGUCGAACGAGACCUUCGGGUCUAGUGGCGCACGGGUGCGUAACGCGUGGGAACCUGCCCUUAGGUUCGGAAUAACUCCCCGAAAGGGGUGCUAAUACCGGAUAAUGUCUUCGGACCAAAGAUUUAUCGCCUUUGGAUGGGCCCGCGUUGGAUUAGCUAGUUGGUAGGGUAAAAGCCUACCAAGGCGACGAUCCAUAGCUGGUCUGAGAGGAUGAUCAGCCACACUGGGACUGAGACACGGCCCAGACUCCGACGGGAGGAAGAAGUGGGGAAUAUGGGAAAAGGGGCGAAAGCCGGAACCAGCAAUGCCGGGGGAGUUAUGAAGGCCUUAGGGUUGUAAAGCUCUUUUACCCGGGAUGAUAAGGACAGUACCGGGAAAAAAAGCCCGGGCUAACUCCGU
This 432-nucleotide ribosomal RNA is filed under the name uncultured bacterium. RNAcentral's name for it is "partial 16S ribosomal RNA". It matches the Rfam family "Bacterial small subunit ribosomal RNA", at positions 29 to 506 of the family's 1533-position model. The record is from RNAcentral.